GUAUUGUAUGAAAGGAGAAAAGGUUAGCAUUCCCUUGACAAUACCCAGAUGGUUAAGGCAUUGCCACCUACUUCAUGGCAUCUAACUAUCAUU
This 93-nucleotide non-coding RNA is filed under the name Carlito syrichta (Philippine tarsier). The record is from RNAcentral. Lineage: Eukaryota; Metazoa; Chordata; Mammalia; Primates; Tarsiidae.